Molecule: long non-coding RNA, 370 nt
Organism: Lepidothrix coronata (blue-crowned manakin)
Lineage: Eukaryota; Metazoa; Chordata; Aves; Passeriformes; Pipridae
Exons: 3
Source: RefSeq, a predicted model, not a curated record
UGAAUAAACCCCCACAGGUGACCAGACGGUCAUUCCUCUCAUGUUGAUAAUCUGUUUACAUCAAAAUAUUGUUUACUCAGCUCUCUGAUCUUGAGGAAUCUACAUGGAGCUGAAAGAAUACAGUUAACUCCCCACACUCUGACACACAAAAUGACCUAAGGAAUCCGUAUUUCUGAAUACUAACCAGGAAGCUGGAGCUGUUCCUCGGUUCUGCAGAUGAAUGAGUGGUCCCUUCUAUAAACAUUUUGCUGUUACAAGCCACCUCUGGAGCUAAAAUGAAGUUCAGCUUCUGCGUGCACCUCACCUUGGAGCACUCUGGCCAGAGGGAAAACUCCAGCCAGCCUCUGACCCCCACCUGCCAGACACCGGC